GUGUCAGCAGCCGCGGUAAUACGUAGGUGGCAAGCGUUGUCCGGAUAAAUUGGGCGUAAAGCGAGCGCAGGCGGAAUCUUAAGUAUGAUGUGAAAGCCCUCGGCUCAACCGAGGAAGGUCAUUGGAAACUGGGGAACUUGUAUGCAGAAGAGGAGAGUGGAAUUGCAUGUGUAGCGGUGAAAUGCGUAGAUAUAUGGACGAACACCAGUGGCGAAGGCGACUCUCUGGUCUGUAAUUGACGCUGAGGCUCGAAAGCGUGGGGAGCAAACAGGAUUAGAAACCCUAGUAGUCC
RNAcentral lists this ribosomal RNA (292 nucleotides) under uncultured prokaryote. RNAcentral's name for it is "partial 16S ribosomal RNA". It matches the Rfam family "Bacterial small subunit ribosomal RNA", at positions 505 to 796 of the family's 1533-position model. The record is from RNAcentral.